CUUAGCGGCGGACGGGUGAGUAAUGCUUAGGAAUCUGCCUAUUAGUGGGGGACAACAUUUCGAAAGGAAUGCUAAUACCGCAUACGUCCUACGGGAGAAAGCAGGGGAUCUUCGGACCUUGCGCUAAUAGAUGAGCCUAAGUCGGAUUAGCUAGUUGGUGGGGUAAAGGCCUACCAAGGCGACGAUCUGUAGCGGGUCUGAGAGGAUGAUCCGCCACACUGGGACUGAGACACGGCCCAGACUCCUACGGGAGGCAGCAGUGGGGAAUAUUGGACAAUGGGCGCAAGCCUGAUCCAGCCAUGCCGCGUGUGUGAAGAAGGCCUUAUGGUUGUAAAGCACUUUAAGCGAGGAGGAGGCUACUUUAGUUAAUACCUAGAGAUAGUGGACGUUACUCGCAGAAUAAGCACCGGCUAACUCUGUGCCAGCAGCCGCGGUAAUACAGAGGGUGCAAGCGUUAAUCGGAUUUACUGGGCGUAAAGCGCGCGUAGGCGGCUAAUUAAGUCAAAUGUGAAAUCCCCGAGCUUAACUUGGGAAUUGCAUUCGAUACUGGUUAGCUAGAGUGUGGGAGAGGAUGGUAGAAUUCCAGGUGUAGCGGUGAA
This 599-nucleotide ribosomal RNA is filed under the name Acinetobacter sp. RNAcentral's name for it is "bacterial SSU rRNA". It matches the Rfam family "Bacterial small subunit ribosomal RNA", at positions 91 to 685 of the family's 1533-position model. Lineage: Bacteria; Pseudomonadati; Pseudomonadota; Gammaproteobacteria; Moraxellales; Moraxellaceae. The record is from RNAcentral.